CUGCUGCCUCCCGUAGGAGUCUGGGCCGUGUCUCAGUCCCAGUGUGGGGGGCCUUCCUCUCAGAACCCCUACGCAUCGUCGCCACGGUGGGCCGUCACCCCGCCGUCUAGCUAAUGCGCCGCAUGCCCAUCCGCCACCGGAUCGCUCCUUUGGCCACCGGAGGAUGCCCUCCGGUGGCGUCACGGGGUAUUAGGCCGCGUUUCCGCGGGUUAUCCCCCUGUGGCGGCCAGGUUGCAUACGUAUUACUCACCCGUGCGCCGGUCGCCCGGG
RNAcentral lists this ribosomal RNA (270 nucleotides) under uncultured bacterium. RNAcentral describes it as "partial 16S ribosomal RNA". The record is from RNAcentral.